Molecule: ribosomal RNA, 229 nt
Filed under: uncultured bacterium
Lineage: Bacteria
Description: partial 16S ribosomal RNA
Rfam family: Bacterial small subunit ribosomal RNA
Source: RNAcentral
GAUCAUGGCUCAGGAUGAACGCUAGCGACAGGCUUAACACAUGCAAGUCGAGGGGCAGCACAGGUAGCAAUACCGGGUGGCGACCGGCGCACAGGUGAGUAACGCGUAUGCAACUUGCCUAUCAGAGGGGGAUAACCCGGCGAAAGUCGGACUAAUACCGCAUGAAGCAGGGGUCCCGCAUGGGGAUAUUUGUUAAAGAUUCAUCGCUGAUAGAUAGGCAUGCGUUCCA